UACGUAGGGGGCGAGCGUUGUCCGGAAUCAUUGGGCGUAAAGCGCGUGUAGGCGGCCCGGUAAGUCCGCUGUGAAAGUCCAGGGCUCAACCCUGGGAUGCCGGUGGAUACUGUCGGGCUCGAGUCCGGAAGAGGCGAGUGGAAUUCCUGGUGUAGCGGUGAAAUGCGCAGAUAUCAGGAAGAACACCCGUGGCGAAGGCGGCUCUCUGGGACGGUACUGACGGCUGAGACGCGAAAGCGUGGGGAGCGAACAGG
This 254-nucleotide ribosomal RNA is filed under the name uncultured bacterium. RNAcentral describes it as "partial 16S ribosomal RNA". It matches the Rfam family "Bacterial small subunit ribosomal RNA", at positions 524 to 776 of the family's 1533-position model. The record is from RNAcentral.